This 447-nucleotide ribosomal RNA is filed under the name uncultured bacterium. RNAcentral describes it as "bacterial SSU rRNA". It matches the Rfam family "Bacterial small subunit ribosomal RNA", at positions 354 to 796 of the family's 1533-position model. The record is from RNAcentral.
GUGAGGAAUAUUGGUCAAUGGUCGCGAGACUGAACCAGCCAAGUAGCGUGCAGGAUGACGGCCCUCUGGGUUGUAAACUGCUUUUAGUUGGGAAUAAAAGGCGGUACGUGUACCGCGUAUUGUAUGUACCAUCAGAAAAAGGACCGGCUAAUUCCGUGCCAGCAGCCGCGGUAAUACGGAAGGUCCAGGCGUUAUCCGGAUUUAUUGGGUUUAAAGGGAGCGUAGGCGGAUUUUUAAGUCAGUUGUGAAAGUUUGAGGCUCAACCUUAAAAUUGCAGUUGAAACUGGAAGUCUUGAGUGCACGCAGAGGUGCCGGAAUUCAUGGUGUAGCGGUGAAAUGCUUAGAUAUCAUGAAGAACUCCGAUCGCGAAGGCAAGUGCCUGGAGUGCUACUGACGCUGAGGCUCGAAAGUGCGGGUAUCAAACAGGAUUAGAAACCCUAGUAGUCC